Molecule: non-coding RNA, 46 nt
Organism: Stomoxys calcitrans (stable fly)
Lineage: Eukaryota; Metazoa; Arthropoda; Insecta; Diptera; Muscidae
Source: Rfam
ACAGAGGACUUCUUAAAGUCCAUUUAUUGAAAUUAUUAAAAAUAGU